RNAcentral lists this ribosomal RNA (301 nucleotides) under uncultured bacterium. RNAcentral's name for it is "partial 16S ribosomal RNA". It matches the Rfam family "Bacterial small subunit ribosomal RNA", at positions 509 to 808 of the family's 1533-position model. The record is from RNAcentral.
CAGUCGCCGCGGUAAUACGAAGGGUGCAAGCGUUAAUCGGAAUUACUGGGCGUAAAGCGUGCGUAGGCGGUUUGUUAAGUCUGCUGUGAAAUCCCCGGGCUCAACCUGGGAAUGGCAGUGGAUACUGGCAAGCUAGAGUGUGUCAGAGGAUGGUGGAAUUCCCGGUGUAGCGGUGAAAUGCGUAGAGAUCGGGAGGAACAUCAGUGGCGAAGGCGGCCAUCUGGGACAACACUGACGCUGAGGCACGAAAGCGUGGGGAGCAAACAGGAUUAGAUACCCCCGUAGUCCCUGUCUCUUUACA